Long non-coding RNA from Bubalus bubalis (water buffalo), 747 nucleotides. RefSeq lists it as uncharacterized. The record is from RefSeq and is a predicted model, not a curated record. The transcript is spliced from 5 exons. NCBI's taxonomy places the organism in Eukaryota, Metazoa, Chordata, Mammalia, Artiodactyla, Bovidae.
AGACUGGGGUUAAAUACCCGGGGGAGGCGCCGCUCCUCCACCCGCGCCCCGCGUCGGGCACCCGCAGCCCUGGACUUGCGGAGCCCGGCUAGGUCGUGCGAGUUGGCGAGGCCGAGCCCCUUGCCUUGGGGGUGGCCAAGUUUGGAGAAUUCUUAGAUGAAAAAGCGCCUCUACCCAAGUUGGAAAAGGAGAGGUUCCGAGUGGGAAUGCUGGGGCUGCCCAGGUGAUCUGGGUUGAAGACAGAAAUAUCACUGAGACAUCUACACAUCUUAGCGCGAACAGGGAAACUGACUAUUGGAACUUGAUCAACAGUAAACAAAGUACUGGGAGUGCAAUUAACAACAGAGAUAUGUCCGUCAGUCAUCAGCUCUUUACUGAGAGGAUUCUUUACCAGCUGAGCUACCAGGGAAGUGAGAAGGUGGGUAAUUCUUCUGGCUAGGUGCAAUCCAAGAGAAAACCUCUCGUCAGAACCUGACUAUGCUGGGACUUUGAUCUCAGAUGUCUAGCCUCCAGACUAUGAGAAAAUGGAGACUCAGAAAGGCUAAAGCAUUUGCUAAAGAUCAUACACAGCUGCAGGAAUGAAGAUCCUGAAAACUGUUCUGCCAUUCUUCACCAGUGAUGACUCGGCUACGCCAGCGUCCCAAAGCAUGCUGCUCCUCUGGCCCAGAGCUCCCUGAUUGCAAGUGAAAAAUGCCUGCGUCUAUAGAACUUCCCCUGAUGCAUAAAUGUUCUUUUUUCUGGCCUGCA